UACGUAGGGUGCAAGCGUUAAUCGGAAUUACUGGGCGUAAAGCGUGCGCAGGCGGUCUGUUAAGACCGAUGUGAAAUCCCCGGGCUUAACCUGGGAACUGCAUUGGUGACUGGCAGGCUUUGAGUGUGGCAGAGGGAGGUAGAAUUCCACGUGUAGCAGUGAAAUGCGUAGAGAUGUGGAGGAAUACCGAUGGCGAAGGCAGCCUCCUGGGCCAACACUGACGCUCAUGCACAAAGCGUGGGGAGCAAAC
Molecule: ribosomal RNA, 250 nt
Filed under: uncultured bacterium
Lineage: Bacteria
Description: partial 16S ribosomal RNA
Rfam family: Bacterial small subunit ribosomal RNA
Source: RNAcentral